CAAAGGAAUUGACGGGGGCCCGCACAAGCGGUGGAGCAUGUGGUUUAAUUCGAAGCAACGCGAAGAACCUUACCAGGUCUUGACAUCCUUUGACCACUCUAGAGAUAGAGCUUCCCCUUCGGGGGCAAAGUGACAGGUGGUGCAUGGUUGUCGUCAGCUCGUGUCGUGAGAUGUUGGGUUAAGUCCCGCAACGAGCGCAACCCUUAUUGUUAGUUGCCAUCAUUCAGUUGGGCACUCUAGCAAGACUGCCGGUGACAAACCGGAGGAAGGUGGGGAUGACGUCAAAUCAUCAUGCCCCUUAUGACCUGGGCUACACACGUGCUACAAUGGGAAGUACAACGAGUUGCGAAGUCGCGAGGCUAAGCUAAUCUCUUAAAGCUUCUCUCAGUUCGGAUUGCAGGCUGCAACUCGCCUGCAUGAAGCCGGAAUCGCUAGUAAUCGCGGAUCAGCACGCCGCGGUGAAUACGUUCCCGGGCCUUGUACACACCGCCCGUCACACCACGAGAGUUUGUAACACCCGA
This 521-nucleotide ribosomal RNA is filed under the name Enterococcus faecium. RNAcentral describes it as "bacterial SSU rRNA". It matches the Rfam family "Bacterial small subunit ribosomal RNA", at positions 902 to 1424 of the family's 1533-position model. Lineage: Bacteria; Bacillati; Bacillota; Bacilli; Lactobacillales; Enterococcaceae. The record is from RNAcentral.